Molecule: transfer RNA, 62 nt
Filed under: Allium macranthum
Lineage: Eukaryota; Viridiplantae; Streptophyta; Magnoliopsida; Asparagales; Amaryllidaceae
Description: tRNA-Thr
Rfam family: tRNA
About the family: Transfer RNA (tRNA) molecules are approximately 80 nucleotides in length. Their secondary structure includes four short double-helical elements and three loops (D, anti-codon, and T loops).
Source: RNAcentral
GCCCGCUUAGCUCAGAGGUUAGAGCAUCGCAUUUGUAAUGCGAUGGUUUCCGAUAGCCGGCU